UUCUUUUACCUGUUCUGUCUUCCAUGUUGUUUAUGUGGGUUUCCAUUAAUGCUCUGCUGAAUGUAACGACAUGAGACCAAGGUGUGAACACAUAUGUGUAUGUGAAGCUUGAAAUGAACCUUAGGUGUGUUUUGGAUGGUGUACACUUUAAGUCAUCCAGUGGAGCUGGAUAGUCAAGUCAAGUCAGUUUUAUUUAUAUAGCACCAAUUCACAGCAGAGGUUAUGAUGGGUCACUUUUCAUGCAGAGAAAGUCUCGAUCAUAUAAUAUCCAGACUCUCAUUAUUUUCUGUCUUAUUUUGAGUUGAUCCUCAUUGAUUUCUUCCUGUCUUUGUUGUUGUUCCUGCCUCUGUGAUUGGCUGCCCCGCCCUGAUGUGUUUCGCCUGUGUCUCAUUGCCUCCUCUCACUUUGUGCAUUGAGUCUCUGUGAUUCUUCUCCUCAGUGUCAGUUUGUCUGUUGUGUUCCUGCAGUCUGUUGGAGUCACUGUCUUUUUUUCAUACUUUGUUCAUGUUCCUCAGUUUUUCCCAGUGCUCCUGCUGACCUGUGCCUAUUACCUGUAAGAACUGGGAUUCAGCCUCCAAAUGUGAAGACUCUGUCUACCAGAACUUCAAUCCUGCCAGCAGGGGUCAGGACCAAAUUUAAUCUGCAUAUCUGAAGACCGAAAACAAAUGGUAAUGUUUGGGUGUGAAUUCGGACUGCACAUUGUGUAGCUUAUAUGUUUAUUUUGCUCUUCUUUUUUUUUGAGAUAUUUUCUAUUAACUUGUUUUUUUUUCUCUUCAGAUGAUACAAAAUUGGUCAUGUUGUGAAGGUGUUCAGUAUCUCUCUUCUUCUGAAAUAAAAGUAUAGCAGUUUCAUGGUGUUUGUUCUUUUAAACUUUGAGUAAUACAAAGGAAUGAGUAGAGUUCAGCUUGAAGCAGUUGCUUGAUAAGUCUGUUGUACUUUGUAAUGGAAGCUAAGAAAAGCCAAGUUCCCUCAGUUAUUAUUUUGUUUUCAAUUAUGACAUAAUUUUUUUGUCACACCAGUGCCAGAAUUUAUGAAUAUUAUGUUGAAAUGAAAUGAAAUGACUGGUUGAGUGAGUUACUGAUGGUUAUUGCCCAUAAAUAUAAUGUAUGGGAUUUGGAUUUAGUUGUAUGUGUUAUCUACUGAAGUAGUUGCACCCUUGAAGAAAUUUUUCAACAAUUUUGCUUCUGUGGAGAAUCCUGUUCACCCUGUGAGAUUCAUGGUUAUUUGGAUUUUGAGGGCCUGCUAAUCAUUUAAUCCUUGCUGUAUUUCAAGAGUAAUUAGCUUCAAUAAACAACUUUUGUAUGAAA
Molecule: long non-coding RNA, 1307 nt
Organism: Lates calcarifer (barramundi perch)
Lineage: Eukaryota; Metazoa; Chordata; Actinopteri; Centropomidae
Exons: 2
Source: RefSeq, a predicted model, not a curated record